GGAAAGCAGGAAAUUGGUGGUUUCCAGUGUCACUAAUGUCCUGCUAAUGUCAAAUCUGAAAAUUGCCACACACAAGCCUACGUCUACUUUGCCUGCAAGAGCUCCUUAAAGAAUUUGUCAUGUCAAGAAUCACCUGUAAAAUGAAAAAGCAACUCAAAAGUACCCAAGAGGCCCAUCCACUUACUGGUGACAACUGUGCCAUUCCCAGGAAUAUCUCGGUCGGCUUGGUCAGCAUGCCCAGGAGAACACGUUCCACUUCCCAACUCCUCUCUGCACGGAACAAGAGUGGUCAGAACCAGGCACUUGGGCAGCACCCCCGGAACCAAGACGGAGGAGCUGGGCCGAGGAGAUACAGCUGGUACCUGGCCAAGCAGUUUUCCUCCGCAGCGCAUCUCAGGUUGUACAUGGCCGUCUUUUGCACGUACGUGGACGCCUGGAUGUAGUAGGGGUCGGGCACCAGGUCCGGAAGACCUAAACGUCAGCCAGGCGAUAGGCAAAACAGUGAGACAACUCCGCGGCCCUCACCCUGGCUCCGGGUCCCUCCAUGUCCCUUACUCCUCACCCUUCACCCAGCCGGACUGCGGUUGUAGGGCUGCGGCUAGCAGAAGAAUGGGGACGCCGAGGGCUGCAAAGCAAUGUGGAAAGAAAGCAGGAGGGGCCAGGCGCGCGGUUUGCAGCAGAUUCCAGGGCUGCCUCUGCAGGAGCAGGGGGAGGGAUGGGAUCUGCAUGGACUGAGGCCUGCCGCGCCCAGGCAGCCACGUCGGGGAGCCACAGAGUUGGGGAAAGGGUGCGCGGGUGUUUCCGGCGACUUGGGGGUGCUUACCAUAC
This is a long non-coding RNA of Aethalodelphis obliquidens (Pacific white-sided dolphin), 828 nucleotides long. RefSeq lists it as uncharacterized. Lineage: Eukaryota; Metazoa; Chordata; Mammalia; Artiodactyla; Delphinidae. The transcript has 3 exons. The record is from RefSeq and is a predicted model, not a curated record.